This 73-nucleotide transfer RNA is filed under the name Kocuria sp. RNAcentral's name for it is "tRNA-Thr". It matches the Rfam family "tRNA". Rfam says of the family: Transfer RNA (tRNA) molecules are approximately 80 nucleotides in length. Their secondary structure includes four short double-helical elements and three loops (D, anti-codon, and T loops). Lineage: Bacteria; Bacillati; Actinomycetota; Actinomycetes; Micrococcales; Micrococcaceae. The record is from RNAcentral.
GCCUCCUUAGCUCAGUUGGUAGAGCGACGCUCUUGUAAAGCGUAGGUCGUCGGUUCGAGUCCGACAGGGGGCU